This is a non-coding RNA of Streptomyces albus subsp. albus, 75 nucleotides long. NCBI's taxonomy places the organism in Bacteria, Bacillati, Actinomycetota, Actinomycetes, Kitasatosporales, Streptomycetaceae. The record is from Rfam.
CUUCAGGGAUCCGAGCCAGAGGGGCUGGUCAGCGGGGCGGUCCUGGCCGUAGGCGGCCAGCAGCGCCUGGGCUUC